UUAUUAUAUAUUCAUAUACUAAUUCAUACUUUGGCAUAAUCUAUAACUUUAUUUGCUAAUUACUAUUUUAAAAUAUGCUUUACAAGCGUAAUUACUUUUGAAUGCUGUAUAUUUUGGUGUUGAAAUGUUUUUGCAGAUACAUGAAGAUUGCAAGAUCAAGAGAGGAGAGUACAUCACCCGUUCUUGUGAUCAACCUACAAGAAUACAGACAAACAUUAAUACAACGAACUAUAGCUUUUUUUUACACAAUGUCAUGAUUAUAUGGUUAUCCAAAAACUUGUGUAACCUAAAUAAGAAAAACAAUCACACCAACUCAAAUGAAUAAAAUAUCUAGAGCGAACUAUAGUCAUAAUCACACGAACUAUAGCUUUUUUUUACUCAUAAUGUAUGAUGAAAUGACUUGAAGGACGAACUUGAUCAUCACCUCUUUUCUGGCUUUAGAUAAAGAUUGAUUUCUCCGGUCUCCAUGAGUUCAUCUUUUUCCAAAUGAGGUCCUUGAUAUUAGAAAAUGUUGCAUUGAAUUAUGAUAUACAUAUUAUUAUUUAGGCUAAAGUGCACUUUUCUCCCCCUAAUUUUCAAAAAUUUGCAAUUUUGGCCCCCUAUGAUUUAGCCCCAUUGCAUCUUUGGUCCUUUUGGUCAAUUUUGACUUAUUCAACGCCUACGUGGCCCACC
This 672-nucleotide long non-coding RNA is filed under the name Medicago truncatula (barrel medic). RNAcentral's name for it is "long non-coding RNA (MTRU_LNC006010)". The record is from RNAcentral. Lineage: Eukaryota; Viridiplantae; Streptophyta; Magnoliopsida; Fabales; Fabaceae.